UUGCCUAACAUGACAACU
Molecule: small nuclear RNA, 18 nt
Filed under: Arabidopsis thaliana (thale cress)
Lineage: Eukaryota; Viridiplantae; Streptophyta; Magnoliopsida; Brassicales; Brassicaceae
Description: snRNA_04425
Source: RNAcentral